GGAAAUCUCACCAGGCCCGGACACCGGAAGGAUUGACAGAUUGAGAGCUCUUUCUCGAUUCGGUGGGUGGUGGUGCAUGGCCGUUCUUAGUUGGUGGAGUGAUUUGUCUGGUUAAUUCCGAUAACGAACGAGACUCUGUCCUGCUAAAUAGUGUCAGCCUCUCUUUUGGGCUGACAAUUCUUCUUAGAGGGACUGGCGGCACCUAGCCGCACGAAAUAGAGCAAUAA
RNAcentral lists this ribosomal RNA (227 nucleotides) under uncultured eukaryote. Its description in RNAcentral is "partial small subunit ribosomal RNA". It matches the Rfam family "Eukaryotic small subunit ribosomal RNA", at positions 1208 to 1456 of the family's 1831-position model. The record is from RNAcentral.